UAGGGAAUCUUCGGCAAUGGACGAAAGUCUGACCGAGCAACGCCGCGUGAGUGAAGAAGGUUUUCGGAUCGUAAAACUCUGUUGUUAGAGAAGAACAAGGACGUUAGUAACUGAACGUCCCCUGACGGUAUCUAACCAGAAAGCCACGGCUAACUACGUGCCAGCAGCCGCGGUAAUACGUAGGUGGCAAGCGUUGUCCGGUUUUAUUGGGCGUAAAGCGAGCGCAGGCGGUUUCUUAAGUCUGGUGUGAAAGCCCCCGGCUCAACCGGGGAGGGGCAUUGGAAACUGGGAGUAUUGAGUGCAGAAGAGGAGAGUGGAAUUCCAUGUGUAGCGGUGAAAUGCGUAGAUAUAUGGAGGAACACCAGUGGCGAAGGCGGCUCUCUGGUAUGUAACUGACGCUGAGGCUAGAAAGCGUGGGGAGCAAACAGG
RNAcentral lists this ribosomal RNA (429 nucleotides) under Gemmatimonadota bacterium. RNAcentral describes it as "Gemmatimonadetes bacterium partial 16S ribosomal RNA". It matches the Rfam family "Bacterial small subunit ribosomal RNA", at positions 355 to 776 of the family's 1533-position model. The record is from RNAcentral. Lineage: Bacteria; Pseudomonadati; Gemmatimonadota.